Molecule: ribosomal RNA, 800 nt
Filed under: uncultured bacterium
Lineage: Bacteria
Description: bacterial SSU rRNA
Rfam family: Bacterial small subunit ribosomal RNA
Source: RNAcentral
CGAACGAAGUCUUCGGACUUAGUGGCGCACGGGUGCGUAACGCGUGGGAAUCUGCCCUUGGGUACGGAAUAACUCAGAGAAAUUUGUGCUAAUACCGUAUAAUGACUUCGGUCCAAAGAUUUAUCGCCCAAGGAUGAGCCCGCGUAAGAUUAGCUAGUUGGUGGGGUAAAAGCCUACCAAGGCGACGAUCUUUAGCUGGUCUGAGAGGAUGAUCAGCCACACUGGGACUGAGACACGGCCCAGACUCCUACGGGAGGCAGCAGUGGGGAAUAUUGGGCAAUGGGCGAAAGCCUGAUCCAGCAAUGCCGCGUGAGUGAUGAAGGCCCUAGGGUUGUAAAGCUCUUUUACCCGGGAUGAUAAUGACAGUACCGGGAGAAUAAGCUCCGGCUAACUCCGUGCCAGCAGCCGCGGUAAUACGGAGGGAGCUAGCGUUGUUCGGAAUUACUGGGCGUAAAGCGCGCGUAGGCGGCUUUUUAAGUCAGAGGUGAAAGCCCGGGGCUCAACCCCGGAAUUGCCUUUGAAACUGGAAAGCCAGAAUCUUGGAGAGGUCAGUGGAAUUCCGAGUGUAGAGGUGAAAUUCGUAGAUAUUCGGAAGAACACCAGUGGCGAAGGCGACUGACUGGACAAUCAUUGACGCUGAGGCACGAAAGCGUGGGGAUCAAACAGGAUUAGAUACCCUGGUAGUCCACGCCCUAAACGAUGAUUACUCGACGUGUGCGAUACACUGUACGCGUCUGAGCGAAAGCAUUAAGUAAUCCACCUGGGAAGUACGUUCGCAAGAAUGAAACUCAAAGGAAUUG